RNAcentral lists this unclassified non-coding RNA (334 nucleotides) under soil metagenome. Its description in RNAcentral is "partial contains 5.8S ribosomal RNA, internal transcribed spacer 2, and large subunit ribosomal RNA". The stretch from base 1 to 120 matches the Rfam family "5.8S ribosomal RNA", at positions 35 to 154 of the family's 154-position model. The record is from RNAcentral.
GAUGAAGAACGCAGCGAAAUGCGAUAAGUAGUGUGAAUUGCAGAAUUCAGUGAAUCAUCGAAUCUUUGAACGCACAUUGCGCCCCUUGGUAUUCCAUGGGGCAUGCCUGUUCGAGCGUCAUUUGUACCUUCAAGCUCUGCUUGGUGUUGGGUGUUUGUCUCGCCUCUGCGUGUAGACUCGCCUCAAAACAAUUGGCAGCCGGCGUAUUGAUUUCGGAGCGCAGUACAUCUCGCGCUUUGCACUCAUAACGACGACGUCCAAAAGUACAUUUUUACACUCUUGACCUCGGAUCAGGUAGGGAUACCCGCUGAACUUAAGCAUAUCAAGCGGAGGA